RNAcentral lists this ribosomal RNA (433 nucleotides) under uncultured bacterium. RNAcentral describes it as "partial 16S ribosomal RNA". It matches the Rfam family "Bacterial small subunit ribosomal RNA", at positions 29 to 507 of the family's 1533-position model. The record is from RNAcentral.
AACGAACGCUGGCGGCAUGCCUAACACAUGCAAGUCGAACGAGACCUUCGGGUCUAGUGGCGCACGGGUGCGUAACGCGUGGGAACCUGCCCUUAGGUUCGGAAUAACUCCCCGAAAGGGGUACUAAUACCGGAUAAUGUCUUCGGACCAAAGAUUUAUCGCCUUUGGAUGGGCCCGCGUUGGAUUAGCUAGUUGGUAGGGUAAAAGCCUACCAAGGCGACGAUCCAUAGCUGGUCUGAGAGGAUGAUCAGUCACACUGGGACUGAGACACGGCCCAGACUCCUACGGGAGGCAGCAGUGGGGAAUAUUGGACAAUGGGCGAAAGCCUGAUCCAGCAAUGCCGCGUGAGUGAUGAAGGCCUUAGGGUUGUAAAGCUCUUUUACCCGGGAUGAUAAUGACAGUACCGGGAGAAUAAGCUCCGGCUAACUCCGUG